This 124-nucleotide ribosomal RNA is filed under the name Patescibacteria group bacterium. Its description in RNAcentral is "partial 23S ribosomal RNA". It matches the Rfam family "Bacterial large subunit ribosomal RNA", at positions 1 to 122 of the family's 2925-position model. The record is from RNAcentral.
GCUGAAGCACGUAAGGGCGUACGGUGGAUGGCUUGGUAGCGAGGAGCUGAUGAAGGACGUAGCAGCCUGCGAUAAGUCUCGGGGAGGUGGCAAGCAACCUUUGAUCCGGGAAUUUCCGAAUGGG